ACGUAGGGGGCAAGCGUUGUCCGGAAUGAUUGGGCGUAAAGGGCGCGUAGGCGGCCUGAUAAGUCUGAAGUGAAAGUCCUGCUUUCAAGGUGGGAAUUGCUUUGGAUACUGUCGGGCUUGAGUGCAGGAGAGGUGAGUGGAAUUCCCGGUGUAGCGGUGAAAUGCGUAGAGAUCGGGAGGAACACCAGUGGCGAAGGCGACUCACUGGACGAUGACUGACGCUCAGAUGCGAAAGCGUGGGUAGCAAACAG
RNAcentral lists this ribosomal RNA (251 nucleotides) under uncultured bacterium. RNAcentral's name for it is "partial 16S ribosomal RNA". It matches the Rfam family "Bacterial small subunit ribosomal RNA", at positions 525 to 775 of the family's 1533-position model. The record is from RNAcentral.